AUAUAUCCAACGUCCUUACGCGUAACAAAGCCAUAUAUGCCUGUUGGACCUUCAAACCAUUUGGACAGCCAUUCUCAAACCAUUUGUUCUGCAUUGGCUGAGACAGUUCUCUCCAUGAAUUAAUUUAACCAGAUAUAUCAUUCGCAAUUUCUUUGAGCUGUCUGUCUGUUUUGCACUUUCUUGCUCUGUUUUUCAGUGACAGUCUAAUAUUUUGAAUGAUAAGCCGAAAUAGAAGAAGGCUGACACCAUCUGAAGUAAAAGAGCCUCCAUUCAUGCGAAUCGGCUGGACGAUAAUAUCCGUUGAUCAUGCAUUAUUCGUUCUGCCACAGCCACUCCCUGCUCACCCACUAUUUUACAAACGUAUUUCGUCUCUCUACCAACAAUUCUCAGUGACAUGCAAUCAGAAUGUAGAUCAUUGACUAAUUACAGUCACUGGGAGUUGUUGAAAGACGUCCGUAAUGAGAUACUUGUCGGACAAGGGUACAGACAUGGAAAUGAUGGGCAGCAUAACUAAGCGGCAAAGGCAGGAAUAGUCCUGAGAGUGAGAGAAACAUUUGUGAAUGCCAAGAAUAUUGCAACCUACCCAUCCUUUUUCGUACUAAAUAUUAAAGGUAAAGCACUAAGGCCAGCGCCAGAGGGAACCCUUUUGUUUUUGGACGAAUAAACAUGAAGACUGUUGAGAAUUGAGAAAUUGGCGCAAAAGAAGAAGAAAGUCUAUAUAUCCUCUCUUCAAAGUCUUGAAAUUAUCUUUGAAAUCAUUUUAAUUAUUAGAAAGAUGAAGGAGUUGCUCUUUUUGGCAAUAAGGGAUGAAUCCACCGCCUAUCUUAUAUACAAUUGAAAAUAAUAUUCAUCUCUAUUCAUCUCUUAAGUUAUUAUAUUUAGAUUAUAUUCCAAA
Molecule: long non-coding RNA, 895 nt
Organism: Juglans microcarpa x Juglans regia
Lineage: Eukaryota; Viridiplantae; Streptophyta; Magnoliopsida; Fagales; Juglandaceae
Exons: 3
Source: RefSeq, a predicted model, not a curated record